ACGGCUCAGUAACACGUAGCUAACCUAACCUUAGGUCAAGAAUAACCUCGGGAAACUGAGGAUAAAACUUGAUAGAAAAUUUUUUUUGGAAUGAGAAAUUUUUGAAACUCGGGCCUAAGGAGGGGGCUGCGGCUGAUUAGCUAGUUGUUGGUGUAAUGGACUAACAAGGCAAUGAUCAGUAAGGGUUCUUAGCGGAAGAGCCCUGAGAAGGAAUCUGAGACACUAUUCCUAGCCUUACGGGGUGCAGCAGCUGAGGAAAUUUUACAAUGCUCGAAAGAGUGAUAAAAUAAGCCAGAGUGUUCAUUUUAAAAUGAACUUUUGUUUGAUGUAAAAAGUCAGGCGAAUAAGGACUGGGCAAGACCGGUGCCAGCCGCCGCGGUAAUCCCGGCGGUCCGAGUCGCAUCCACAAUUAUUGGGUCUAAAACAUUCGUAGCUUGUUUUGUAAGUUUCUCGUGAAAUCUCGUGUCUCAAGCACGAGGCGUGCAAGAAAUACUGCAUUACUAGAGACCGGAAGGCGUAAGGAGUAUGAGCAAGGUAGUAGUAAAAUACGUUAAUCUUGAUCAGACUAACAAUGGCGAAGGCACCUUACGAGCACGGAUCUGACAGUGAGGGAUGAAGGCCAGGAGCGCGAAAGGGAUUAGAUACCCCUGUAGUCCUGGCAGUAAACACUGCUCACUAAACAUUAGUGCCUCCUCGAGAGGCAUUAGUGCUGCAGCGAAGGCGAAGAGUGAGCUACCUGGGAAGUAUAGUCGCAAGGCCGAAACUUAAAGGAAUUGGCGGGGGAGCAC
RNAcentral lists this ribosomal RNA (788 nucleotides) under uncultured archaeon. RNAcentral describes it as "bacterial SSU rRNA". It matches the Rfam family "Archaeal small subunit ribosomal RNA", at positions 85 to 879 of the family's 1478-position model. The record is from RNAcentral.